UGAAUGAUUUAUGGUUUGUAUUUUCUCAUGGUGAACCCUCAAUCUUUUUUGAAAUUCGGACUCGGAUUGUUAGUCUACCAAAAUAAGUUAUGUUGUUCUGAAUUUUGUAGAUCCGAUCAUAAAAUUGAAGGUAUGUUGUUUUAGUUUGUUGUUUAUCUACUGUGCAUCUUUAAUCUAAGCGAUUGAACAUUUAUAUUUUUUUUGCAAACAAUAUCAAGAUCAGAGGUUUUGUUAUCAUCAUCUACAUUCUCUGAUUUAUGUAGUGUCUAUGAACGUUAAUCAUGUAUUGGACAUUUAUCAAACUCAUGUAUUGGACAUUUAUCAAACUUACUGAUUUUUGUUUAUUUUGAUUUUCAUGUGAAUCCCUAAAUCUUGGAUAACAAUCGGACUCCGAUCAUUCAACAAGCAACAGAGGAAAUACCGUAUGAUUUUGCAAGCUUAUUGUGGGAAGGAAAAGUUCCAUAUGGUCAAUGUCUUGAACUUAUUGAUGAUGACUUAUGCAACUGCAUGAGUCUGAAUCUUUUUCGAACACAAGAGAAUUGAUGGAGUGAUAUAAGAAGGUUUCUUUGUUAAUUGAUUAUUCUCUUCCGCUUACAGGGGAUAGCGCUAAGAAUAAGUGCUUUGAUGAACUAAUAGGUGUUUGAAUUUUGUGUUUACUUUGCUCUGCAUAGGGCUCCUUCAGUUUUUUGUAUUCUUUUACUUCGCUCAGUAAUUAUUCUAUUUUCAAGAUAAGAAUACAAGCUGCAUCUGCAUUGGCUACCCUACCAACAAUAGUGGGUGAAUCAGUAAUAACAAAACUA
Molecule: long non-coding RNA, 800 nt
Organism: Helianthus annuus (common sunflower)
Lineage: Eukaryota; Viridiplantae; Streptophyta; Magnoliopsida; Asterales; Asteraceae
Exons: 4
Source: RefSeq, a predicted model, not a curated record